This 886-nucleotide ribosomal RNA is filed under the name uncultured Bacillota bacterium. Its description in RNAcentral is "bacterial SSU rRNA". It matches the Rfam family "Bacterial small subunit ribosomal RNA", at positions 58 to 919 of the family's 1533-position model. The record is from RNAcentral. Lineage: Bacteria; Bacillati; Bacillota.
CAAGUCGAACGCGAAAGUCCCCUUCGGGGGGCGAGUAGAGUGGCGCACGGGUGAGUAACACGUAGGUAAUCUACCUUUGGAUUGGGAAUAACAACCGGAAACGGUUGCUAAUACCGAAUAAUGCAGCGGCACCUAGUGGUGACAGUUGUUAAAGCGGGGGAUCGCAAGACCUCGCGUCUGAAGAGGAGCCUGCGGCAGAUUAGCUAGUUGGUAAGGUAACGGCUUACCAAGGCGAUGAUCUGUAGCCGGCCUGAGAGGGCGGUCGGCCACACUGACACUGACAUACGGGCCAGACUCCUACGGGAGGCAGCAGUCGGGAAUUUUGGGCAAUGGGCGAAAGCCUGACCCAGCAACGCCGCGUGAAGGAUGAAAUCCUUCGGGAUGUAGACUUCGCAAGAACGGGAAGAAUAAGUAAGAGUUAAUAUCUCUUAUGAUGACGGUACUGUUUGUAAGCUCCGGCUAACUCCGUGCCAGCAGCCGCGGUAAUACGGGGGGAGCAAGCGUUGUUCGGAUUUACUGGGCGUAAAGGGCGCGUAGGCGGCCACCGCAAGUCGACUGUGAAAUCUCCGGGCUUAACCCGGAAAGGUCAGCCGAUACUGCGGGGCUAGAGUGCAGAAGGGGCAACUGGAAUUCUCGGUGUAGCGGUGAAAUGCGUAGAUAUCGAGAGGAACACCUGCGGCGAAAGCGGGUUGCUGGGCUGACACUGACGCUGAUGCGCGAAAGCUAGGGGAGCGAACGGGAUUAGAUACCCCGGUAGUCCUAGCCUUAAACGAUGAAUGCUUGGUGUCUGGGGUUUUAUAGUCCCCCGGGUGCCGUCGCUAACGCUUUAAGCAUUCCGCCCGGGGAGUACGGUCGCCAGACUGAAACUCAAAGGAAUUGACGGGGA